This 277-nucleotide long non-coding RNA is filed under the name Solanum tuberosum (potato). RNAcentral's name for it is "long non-coding RNA (STUB_LNC000533)". Lineage: Eukaryota; Viridiplantae; Streptophyta; Magnoliopsida; Solanales; Solanaceae. The record is from RNAcentral.
CGGUGGCCUAAAGCCAAAUCCAAAUGGAGGCCUUAGAUUUGAUUUUUUUUUUUAUGAAGUUUAUUAUAGCCAAUUAUUUAAUCUUUCUUGAGACAUAGUACUCAUAAUUUAUCAAACUUCUAUUACUUCUUUGCUCUUUUAUGAAAAGUCUAUAUUUUCUAUAAAUAAUACUCAAUAUUUUUUUAGAAAAAAUAUGUAUAACAUAUUAAUCUUUUUAAAAUGAGGCCCCUCAAAUUUUGGGGCCUAAGGCGGUUGCUUUUUUUUGUAAGGGGUAGAG